Molecule: ribosomal RNA, 250 nt
Filed under: uncultured prokaryote
Description: partial 16S ribosomal RNA
Rfam family: Archaeal small subunit ribosomal RNA
Source: RNAcentral
UACCCGCAGCCCAAGUGGUGGUCGAUUUUAUUGAGUCUAAAACGUUCGUAGCCGGUUCAUUAAAUCCUUGGGUAAAUCGGAUGGCUUAACUAUCCGAAUUCCGGGGAGACUGGUGAACUUGGGACCGGGAGAGGCAAGAGGUACUUUUGGGGUAGGGGUAAAAUCCUGUAAUCCUAAAAGGACCACCGGUGGCGAAGGCGUCUUGCUAGAACGGAUCCGACGGUGAGGGACGAAGCCCUGGGUCGCAAAC